UCGUAUCUUUCAAAUGAUUGAACAACGAGCGAGAGUCUUUGAAAAUUUUCUUUAAAAUAAUGUUCAAAGACAUCAUAAGUCUGACUGAUGUAUUUCCAAGCUGGGAAAUAAAUGUUAUCAAGUUAAUACAGAAUACCAUGUCAAUAAUAUCAACAAAGGGCUUGACUACAUGGAGCAAUCAAGUUGUCCUUGUUAAAGACAAGUUGUAUUCACUUUUGUCUUAGUUACUCAGAGUUGUCGUUUAGUUACAUUAAGAAAGAGGUUUUAUUGGCUACUCACUAUUCGGAAGGUAAUUGUGGGAAAUAGUUAAGAGAAAAGUUUGAGAUCCUUGCUUCCUUUAGUCUAGAGAUAAGUUCCAUGAUGGAAGAACAUUACACGCAUACAAAAGGACUCUAUAGGAAGCUGAAAGAUACUAUAAUUGAUGAGAAAUCCACAAUAUUUUCUGCUCUAACAAUUACAUUGACAAUAAUCAA
Molecule: long non-coding RNA, 473 nt
Organism: Xenia sp. Carnegie-2017
Lineage: Eukaryota; Metazoa; Cnidaria; Anthozoa; Malacalcyonacea; Xeniidae
Exons: 2
Source: RefSeq, a predicted model, not a curated record